GAAUGGAGGCCAUAGGUGGUCUUGAUCGAAGAUGAAUCUUUUUCCUGACGUUAUUUCUGUUCCAUAUUACUGAGGUUACUGUUAGUGGAGUGUGGAUUUUUACAGAAUUUCAUAUUUUUAUUAACCCUUCGUAGGCAACCUGGGUUAUUCACGUCCCAAGCGAAAUUUCAAUCUUAACAGUAGGGGGUGGUAGUGGCCUGUUGCAUGGAUCCUCGAGGUCGCACUGGCUACGAAGGAAUACUUCUAGAAGGCCCAUGAACAACAUGAAGGACGAACCACCGCAUGUUGAUGCUAAAGUUGGCCCCGUUGAAGGCGUUAGUGGACAGUUACAGCUCAUCUGGAACGUUUAUUGAUUUUUUAACAAACCUGAGAUGAGCGUAUAUGGACCUGGUGAGAGCCGUAAGAGAAAAGAAACGGAAAUCGGCUUUCUCAAAUACACUGGAAAGAGAAUAGCAGAAAGUAUGAAAUGAACGUACGAAGAGAUUACUUGACUUUUCAAAUCAAAGGAAUUCAUAAUAGAAGUAAUAAUUAUUUUACGUUAAAUAACAUUUGUCG
This 555-nucleotide unclassified non-coding RNA is filed under the name Bombus terrestris (buff-tailed bumblebee). Its description in RNAcentral is "misc RNA ENSBTSG00005037475.1". The record is from RNAcentral. Lineage: Eukaryota; Metazoa; Arthropoda; Insecta; Hymenoptera; Apidae.